GUUCUACUGAAUCCGUGCCGAGAUUUCGACAGACACCAGACCACCAGGACUGAUGAGAAUCUCAAGAUAAGUGAGGCG
Non-coding RNA from Schistosoma curassoni, 78 nucleotides. NCBI's taxonomy places the organism in Eukaryota, Metazoa, Platyhelminthes, Trematoda, Strigeidida, Schistosomatidae. The record is from Rfam.